GACUAACGCUGGCGGCGUGCCUAAUACAUGCAAGUCGAACGGGAUUCUUUGAUCAGCUUGCUGAGAGAAGGAUCUAGUGGCGGACGGGUGAGUAACGCGUGGGAAUCUGCCUCUUACUGGGGGAUAACAGUGGGAAACUACUGCUAAUACCGCAUAAGAUCUUCGGAUGAAAGGUGCAACUGCACCGGUAAGAGAUGAGCCCGCGUCCCAUUAGCUAGUUGGUGAGGUAAAGGCUCACCAAGGCGACGAUGGGUAGCCGGCCUGAGAGGGUGAACGGCCACACUGGGACUGAGACACGGCCCAGACUCCUACGGGAGGCAGCAGUAGGGAAUCUUCCGCAAUGGGCGCAAGCCUGACGGAGCGACGCCGCGUGAGUGAUGAAGGCCUUCGGGUCGUAAAGCUCUGUUCUUGUAGGACGAAUAAGCCAGGGAGUGGAAAGACCCUGGUGAUGACUGUACUCAAGGAGAAAGCUACCGGCUAACUACGUGCC
Molecule: ribosomal RNA, 490 nt
Filed under: uncultured bacterium
Lineage: Bacteria
Description: bacterial SSU rRNA
Rfam family: Bacterial small subunit ribosomal RNA
Source: RNAcentral